RNAcentral lists this ribosomal RNA (497 nucleotides) under uncultured bacterium. RNAcentral describes it as "partial 16S ribosomal RNA". It matches the Rfam family "Bacterial small subunit ribosomal RNA", at positions 28 to 507 of the family's 1533-position model. The record is from RNAcentral.
GAUGAACGCUGGCGGCGUGCCUAAUACAUGCAAGUCGAGCGAACGGACGAGAAGCUUGCUUCUCUGAUGUUAGCGGCGGACGGGUGAGUAACACGUGGAUAACCUACCUAUAAGACUGGGAUAACUUCGGGAAACCGGAGCUAAUACCGGAUAAUAUUUUGAACCGCAUGGUUCAAAAGUGAAAGACGGUCUUGCUGUCACUUAUAGAUGGAUCCGCGCUGCAUUAGCUAGUUGGUAAGGUAACGGCUUACCAAGGCAACGAUGCAUAGCCGACCUGAGAGGGUGAUCGGCCACACUGUAACUGAGACACGGCCCAGACUCCUACGGGAGGCAGCAGUAGGGAAUCUUCCGCAAUGGGCGAAAGCCUGACGGAGCACCGCCGCGUGAGUGAUGAAGGUCUUCGGAUCGUAAAACUCUGUUGUUAGUGAAGAACAUAUGUGUAAGUAACUGUGCACAUCUUGACGGUACCUAAUCAGAAAGCCCCGGCUAACUACGUG